RNAcentral lists this long non-coding RNA (1917 nucleotides) under Hordeum vulgare. RNAcentral's name for it is "long non-coding RNA (HVUL_LNC004421)". Lineage: Eukaryota; Viridiplantae; Streptophyta; Magnoliopsida; Poales; Poaceae. The record is from RNAcentral.
CUCAAGCAUAAAUUCCAAGCAUACCAAGACAAUAUUUUAAUUUGAUCCCAUAAGUGUUUCCCUUUUUUAGUCAAGAAAUAAUCCCUAAAGUACCGACGUUGACCCAACACAUCUCCCAUUAUCAAGUUGAAUGGGGAUUUUUCAGGAUUUUCAAAGUAGUAUUUAAUGUUUUCCACGUAACGAGCAUCAAGGGUUUUAGGAGGUUCCCCAUCUCCAUGAGUAGCAAGUACAACUAUUUUUUUGGUAUUUCAUGUCCUAUAUCCAUAACGAAAGAUAUAAAACAACUUAUAAUAGAAAAUAAAAACUACUUGGUGAUAAAGAAAACUAGCACACACGAAAAUAUCAGCCCCAUGCUAUUUCUCCCUAGCAACGGUGCGAUAAAAAGGUCUAGCAAGUUGUCGGUGUCAAAACUGGCUAAUCUCGAGUAGGGGGUCCGAACUAUGGAUCUUGGAUCGAUGGGUAACAAGAGAUAAGGAAGACGAUGUUUACCCAGGUUCGGGCCCUCCUGAUGGAGGUAAAACCCUACGUCCUGCUCUUAUUAUAUUGAUGGGGUUGCACAGAGUACAUAGUUGAUCCACCUCGAUAUCGUAUGUUGUGGUCUAAACCCUAACAGCCAUGAGCCUCUUUUAUGAACUAUGACCCUCUUUGUUUAUAUAGAUACCAGGGGUGUUAGGGAUACCCAACAUCGGCUACAUCAGGGAAGGAAUAUGUCGAUCACUACGCGGCCUUGGAUUACACGCCAAGUAUUCAAAAGAAUCCAUCUUGAAUACACCAUAUCUUUAUUUGUCUGUAGUCCAAUAAUGAUGAUAGAACGGCCCACGAGUCCGGCAGAUGGAAAUAAGUGAAUGGCCCGAGGACUCGGGACUCCUUGAGUAGCCCUCGAAAUCGCCUCCAAUGUCGUAGUCUUGACCUCAAGCUACUUUAAAUGUCCAAAGUCUUCGGCUUGCGGGGCGAGUUCUCCCCUUCUUACAUUUAGCCGACAAUAGUUCGGUUGCCGAUGACUUUACCCAUUCCAAAUAUAUAAAAAAAUAUAGAUAAAUUUUAAUUUCCAGGCCGACCUUUCGAUCGUGAAUAGUGUUUUUUGUCUCACACCAUUUCUAACGAAAGGUCGCGGCCGGUCAAGGCCUACGACCCAUUGCAGAAGCGCGGCUCAAAACCAUCUUUACUCACAUGUUCCAUUAUGGAGGCCGUGUUCCUAUUUUAUAGGGAUAUGGUUUAUGUUUUGGGUUAUCCCACUCGCGCAUAACCACACGAUUUUGUCGGGAAGUCGCGAAGUUCACGGCGCAUUAGUGGGGCUCUUGGAAUUUUAGCGGUUAAAAGUUAUAGGAAAAAUGCUCCCAGGGACUUAUCUGUGAUAAAUAGAAAAGUAUCCAGGGUUAAAACUAAGAAAAGAGAAAACGUUUCAAUUGAAACUGGGCUGGACCAGAAGGGAAAACAUAUUUGGGAAAAUAUGUUUUCAGAUAAUAGUCCGCAAAGAAAAGAAAGUUGAUGCGUGGGCCACUGCUAUUAGGUUCAAAAAUUUCACCGGCAGCAGGGGGUCGCGGUGGUGGCCGAUGUUGAUUGACGGCGAGCCAGGGGAAGGGGGUGGCACAAGCAGACUCAGGAGGCGAUUCUGCGUUGAGGGGUGGUGGACCUGCUCGAUGGCGAGAACCACAACGUCGCCAACAUCCUCUCUGGCGAUAGCCAGCCUCGGGCUAGGAUGGAUCUAACCGCCACGACCUGCACACGUCAAAUUGAUGCGCGGGUCAGAUGAGGUGAACCACUACGAGGCUACUGACCAAGUUUGAGCAGAGGGGGCUCACUACCAAGCACGAAUUUUUGCCCGGACCCGAAGUGGAUCCGGGUGGCUAGAGGCAGGGAAGAAGACCUCCCCUUGGUCCUCUGCGGGGCUGGGCUUGGCUCUGUGGUCUCUAGGGU